UGUUCUGUAGCUUAGUUGGUUAAAGCGCCGGUCUAGCGUACACAAAGUCUUGAGUUCGAGUCUCACUAAAACUG
Non-coding RNA from Aedes aegypti (yellow fever mosquito), 74 nucleotides. The record is from Rfam. Lineage: Eukaryota; Metazoa; Arthropoda; Insecta; Diptera; Culicidae.